Ahaetulla prasina is the source of this 535-nucleotide non-coding RNA. Lineage: Eukaryota; Metazoa; Chordata; Lepidosauria; Squamata; Colubridae. The record is from the annotation of a RefSeq genome assembly.
AGCAACUUAUUAUCUCUUCCUAGAGAUGCUGCAGUAGCAGCCCCAGACUGAGAUGGCUCCAACACCUCUUCAUUCCUGCUCUGGGCUCCUUGGGCUCCGCUUCUCCCGUGUCCUCCUUGCCUUCUGGUGCACUUUUGUGGGCAGUGGCUCUGCCCAGAAUGUGGUCCAGACUCCAAGCUUUGUCAGUGGCUCGACAGGGCAAAAUAUUUCCUUCGGUUGCUCUGUUGACAAUGGCUAUAAUUUGUUUUGGUAUCACCAACUGCCUGGGAAGACAGAAUUGGAACUCCUUGGGAUGGUCUACAGUUACAGUGACAAACUUGAAGACAUUGGAAAUGAUUUCAAGGGUCGGCUGAAUGCAAAUUUUGCAGAGAGGUCAGGCAAGCGGGAAAUGCGUUUGGAAUUGUCAAAACUUCAGGCGAGUGACAAAGGCCUGUAUCUGUGUGCUGCAGUGAACACAGUGAAAGAGAAAGGAAGUGUGGCAGAUGCAAAACUUAUCUCAGGAACAAAUCUGCCCUUUACUCUUUUCUAUUCAUAG